RNAcentral lists this ribosomal RNA (402 nucleotides) under uncultured bacterium. Its description in RNAcentral is "bacterial SSU rRNA". It matches the Rfam family "Bacterial small subunit ribosomal RNA", at positions 359 to 776 of the family's 1533-position model. The record is from RNAcentral.
GAAUCUUGCACAAUGGGGGAAACCCUGAUGCAGCGACGCCGCGUGGAGGAUGAAGGAUCUAGGUCUGUAAACUCCUUUUUCAUGGAAAGACUUAGGACGGUACCAUGAGAAUAAGGACCGGCUAACUACGUGCCAGCAGCCGCGGUAAGACGUAGGGUCCAAGCGUUGUCCGGAUUUACUGGGCGUAAAGAGCGCGUAGGCGGCUCGUUAAGUGUGGUGUGAAAUCUCCAGGGCUCAACCCGGAAACUGCACCGCAUACUGGCGAGCUUGAGGAAUGCAGAGGUAACUGGAAUUCCUGGUGUAGCGGUGAAAUGCGUUGAUAUCAGGAGGAACACCCAUGGCGAAGGCAGGUUACUGGGCAUUAUCUGACGCUGAGGCGCGAAAGCGUGGGUAGCAAACAGG